RNAcentral lists this ribosomal RNA (492 nucleotides) under uncultured bacterium. Its description in RNAcentral is "partial 16S ribosomal RNA". It matches the Rfam family "Bacterial small subunit ribosomal RNA", at positions 29 to 507 of the family's 1533-position model. The record is from RNAcentral.
AGUGAACGCUGGCGGUAGGCCUAACACAUGCAAGUCGAACGGCAGCACAGUAAGAGCUUGCUCUUACGGGUGGCGAGUGGCGGACGGGUGAGGAAUACAUCGGAAUCUACUUUUUCGUGGGGGAUAACGUAGGGAAACUUACGCUAAUACCGCAUACGACCUACGGGUGAAAGCAGGGGAUCUUCGGACCUUUCGCGAUUGAAUGAGCCGAUGUCGGAUUAGCUAGUUGGCGGGGUAAAGUCCCACCAAGGCGACGAUCCGUAGCUGGUCUGAGAGGAUGAUCAGCCACACUGGAACUGAGACACGGUCCAGACUCCUACGGGAGGCAGCAGUGGGGAAUAUUGGACAAUGGGCGCAAGCCUGAUCCAGCCAUACCGCGUGGGUGAAGAAGGCCUUCGGGUUGUAAAGCCCUUUUGUUGGGAAAGAAAAGCAGCAGGUUAAUACCCCGCUGUUCUGACGGUACCCAAAGAAUAAGCACCGGCUAACUUCGUG